UAUCUCUGUAGAGUCUGCAUAUCAAUAAGCGGAGGAAAAGAAACUAACUAGGAUUCCCUCAGUAACGGCGAGUGAAGCGGGAAGAGCUCAAAUUUGAAAUCUUCAAGGUUCUACCUUGACGAAUUGUAGUUUAAAGAAGUGUUUUCUGUUGGAUGUUUUGGUAAAAGUUCUUUGGAAUAGGACAUCAUAGAGGGUGAGAAUCCCGUAUUUGACCAUUACUUUCCAGCGUUGUGAUACACUUUCAAAGAGUCGGAUUGUUUGGGAAUGCAGUCCAAAAUGGGUGGUAAAUUUCAUCUAAAGCUAAAUACUGGCGAGAGACCGAUAGCGAACAAGUACCGUGAGGGAAAGAUGAAAAGAACUUUGAAAAGAGAGUUAAACAGUACGUGAAAUUGUCAAAAGGGAAGCGUUUGACACCAGUGUUGUUUUCUCGAAAAUCAAUUAAAAAAGGCAGGAUUUUGUGUUGUAUUGACUUUAUCAGCUUUCUGCACUCUUUUCUUGUCUUUUUUAAUGCACUUUUCGUUUAACAAGUCAACAUCAACUUCUUUUGUUGUAAAAGAGUCAUUGGAAGGUGGCUUUCACUUCGGUGAAAGUGUUUAUAGCCUUUGGCCUCUGCAAUCGGAGAGAUUGAGGUCUGCAGCGUAGAUCCUUCGGGGUUAGAUACAUUUGUGCUAAGUUAUAGCCUUUCAUAGACAACUUGUUGACUAUGAUCAGUCAUGUAGCUUACUCGCUUACGCUAUUUUACCUACGCUUAGGAUGUUGACGAUCAGCUGAGCGCG
This 776-nucleotide ribosomal RNA is filed under the name uncultured Neocallimastigales. RNAcentral describes it as "partial large subunit ribosomal RNA". It matches the Rfam family "Eukaryotic large subunit ribosomal RNA", at positions 24 to 627 of the family's 3401-position model. Lineage: Eukaryota; Fungi; Neocallimastigomycota; Neocallimastigomycetes; Neocallimastigales. The record is from RNAcentral.